Molecule: transfer RNA, 73 nt
Organism: Wohlfahrtiimonas chitiniclastica SH04
Lineage: Bacteria; Pseudomonadati; Pseudomonadota; Gammaproteobacteria; Cardiobacteriales; Ignatzschineriaceae
Rfam family: tRNA
About the family: Transfer RNA (tRNA) molecules are approximately 80 nucleotides in length. Their secondary structure includes four short double-helical elements and three loops (D, anti-codon, and T loops). Further hydrogen bonds mediate the characteristic L-shaped molecular structure. tRNAs have two regions of fundamental functional importance: the anti-codon, which is responsible for specific mRNA codon recognition, and the 3' end, to which the tRNAs corresponding amino acid is attached (by aminoacyl-tRNA synthetases). tRNAs cope with the degeneracy of the genetic code in two manners: having more than one tRNA (with a specific anti-codon) for a particular amino acid; and 'wobble' base-pairing, i.e. permitting non-standard base-pairing at the 3rd anti-codon position.
Source: Rfam
GGGUCAUUAGCUCAGUUGGUAGAGCAGUUGGCUUUUAACCAAUUGGUCGAAGGUUCGAAUCCUUCAUGACCCA